RNAcentral lists this long non-coding RNA (6232 nucleotides) under Homo sapiens (human). RNAcentral describes it as "non-protein coding lnc-NNT-5:1". The record is from RNAcentral. Lineage: Eukaryota; Metazoa; Chordata; Mammalia; Primates; Hominidae.
UUACUUUCACUUUGCACUGUGGACUCGUCUCGAAUUUUUUCUUGCGCAAGAUCCAAGAACCCUCUCUUGGGGUCUGGAUCAGGACGCCUUUUUGGUUACAGAAACAGAUAGACAAAGGAGUGGAAAAACAAAAGGGAUAAGCAGAAAGGAGCAAAUUUGAAUAUAUCAUUUUAUAUCUUUUUUUAUCAGUCUCUUAGUCCCGAGAAUAGAUCAGUUCAGUUAAACAGCUAUGUCUCAUUCCAGGGGGUGGCAUUACAGAUGGACUAGGACUCUAUAUAUGAAGCGGCAAACAGAUUUUUAAUAAAAGGUGUUUCUAUGAAAACAGAAGAAAAACAAAGGUUAAUAUCUACUGUAGACUAUACACUAGUUUUUUGAGAGUCUCUGUAGUUCUUCAGAUUGUAGUGUUAAUCUGACAGAGUCUCCUGGUUGUAGUUUAAAUCAGGUGUUGCAGUGAACUUUCUGAGUAUUCCAUACAUCAACAAAGCAUAAAAGCUGUUUAUAUAUAAGUUGCUGUAGUGAUUUUUCCCAUAGUUUAUUCAAGUUGUCUUGCUCCAGUCUGCAGGGCUUCAAGAAAAGCAUAGUUUUAACUUCUACUUAUUCCAAGUCAGAAACAUAGGAGAAAAAAAUUUAAAUGUUAGCUUGGAGACUUGUAGCCAGGAAAGAAUUCAAGAUUUAGUUCAAAUGUAGGCAAAUAAUUACAACUUAAAAACAAUGGACAAAGCUAGAAUCUAACAACAGGUAUGCUAUCAUUUUCUUCUGAAACAUAAUUCUUCUCUCUCCAGUCCCCCUUUUCUAUUAAAGGCAAAUCAUAACAGGACCAAUUUAUUUGCAAAAUAAGUUUUAGUUUUAUUAUAUUUGGCCUGAUUAUUUGCAUAAAGUACAGCAAAAAUAGUGAUUGACCACAUAUAGGCUCUUUUAAAGUUUGGCUUUGUUGGAACUUUUUCAUAAGGAAUUUCACAUUCAACUUUUAAAAACUCUCAAGGCUAAGAAGCCAAGACAAGGAUUCACAAUCAGACUGCACUUGUAAUUCCUGUAUAAAUUGGAUACACUCCUCUCUUGUCAAGGUUCCCAAAAUAUCCUGAGGCUCCUGGGCCUGCCAGAGAGUGACAUUCUUUACUACCGCAAGGUCAGGAACCUUGUAAGGAAACUGUGUAGACAAGGUAUCAGGCUAAUUUUUCCAACAGGCUUUUUAUAGGCUCUAUAAAGUCAACUUCAAAUCCUCAAAGCAGUCUGGUCAUUAAAAAAUUAUGCCAUUCCAAUGAAAGCCUUGGCAAAAUAAUCAGUGUAUCCAACUGUGUUCUGUUACAAAAGAAAACAGAUUCCUAUCGAAUUUGUACAAAUAACUAUAUUGCCAAAAGUGAAGAAUACUCACAAAUACUUUCCAAAUUCUGGAGACAUCAGGUAGAGAGAAAGGUUAGUGUUUCAAUUGUUCUCACAAAAGUGUAAUUUAUCUAAUUACUGUAAGCUAUGUACAGCUCAAAAGAAAAAAACAAUUUUCUUGACUCUGGAAAACAAAACAUAAAAAGUAUCAGCAAUGUCUCAAACCAAAAAAAGGUUAUGAAAAUAUUAUUUUGGCAUUUUAUCAGUUCAGCCCCAUGUAAUUAACUUAUUCUGCUUGAUGUUGGAUUAGCAAUCUUCAUUAAUUUAUUAGAUUUUAAAAAAUUAUUUUAGAAGUUUUUAACUAGUCCAACGGUGUGAAUUCCAAAGUUAUCAGAAAACUGUGUUUAAGUGUGUGUGCUGUCAGGGCCCUUUCCAUGGAUUUUUUUUUUUUUUUUUUGAACAAGCAGAUUUUAGGCUGUAGCCAAUUACAAACCACUUUUGAAAAGAAUCCAAGUAAAACAAUAAUCAUCUGUGAAUGACAAAAGACUUAGAAGAGCCAUGAUUACUGAUGCAAUUGACAAAGAAAUUUCAUUAUUUCUGUGGUAUACAAUAAUUUAACAGGAUAACAAUUAUUACCAAUAACAUAUAACAAGAUCUAUCAACAUUUUAGCAAUAUGAUACAAUUUUGGGAUGCAUAUUAAUAACAGAUUUAUACAAAUACAACUCAAAGAAAAUUAAACAACAUUUUUUAUUUGAUCAGCUUCCUGUAUGAUUUUAAUAUACCAAAUUAGCCUAAUAUGUUUCUUUUGGACUUCCAGGGGCCCUAUUUGGACUUCCAAGGGCUUUAAUGCCCAAAAGUUAGCUUGAGGUCGAAAACAUUUAAGUUAGAAUUUUACAUUUGAUUUUGGGAAGUUUGUCAAAUAUCAAAGGUUUAAAACACUUGAUCAAAAUAAGAUUACAGGUCACUGUAAGAUAAUAGUUAUUCAUUUAGCCAAACUGAUAAUUCAAAAAUUUCAAAAAGCAAAAAUUUUACUCUUUGACAGAGGGGAGAUUCAGUUUUCCAAACAAUCAAAAGACAUAAUAAAAACAGCAUUAGGGAAAUUCUCUCCUCUUAUUACUAAUAUUUUUUGCAGUUUACUCAAAAGGUAAACAAAAAUCUUUUACUAUUUCUUAUUAAUGUAUACAAAAAUCUUGUUCAAAAGAGAAAUCCAAAUUCUAACUUUGUGCCAGUGUAUUAUAAAUGCUAAAGCUAAUUUUAAUAAAGCCUUAUAAACAGAUCAAUCCAAUUGCAAUUGUUUUCUUUUCCUUUUUUUGUUUUUUUUUGAGACAGGGUCUCACUUUGUCACCCAGGCUGGAGUGUAGUGGUGCAAUCUUGGCUUACUGCAACCUUUGACUCCCGGGCUCAAGCAAUUUUCCCAUCUCAGUCCCCCAAGUAGCUGGGACUACAAGUGUGUACCAUCAUGCCCAGCUAAUUCCUUUUGUACUUUGGUAGUGAGAGAGUUUCACUAUGUUGCCCAGGAUGGUCUCAAACUCCUGAGCUCAAGUGAUCUGCCCAUCUCAGCCUCCCAAAGUGCUGGGAUUACAAGUGUGAGCUACUGCAUCCAGCCUGCAAUUGGUUUUGACUGCACAAGAAAAAACAUAAAAAGGUUCCAUGAACCUUUUAUAACCUCUUAUAAUUGUUACGGUUUUAUUUCUUUCCUCAAUUUUCUAUGUCCAUUCAGUUUUAGGUCCUUAAAAAAAUAGCAGAGAUAGUGUAAACCUGUCUAACAAAUAGACCCAGAAAAAUAUCUAAAUUAAAUUCAGAAAAUGUUUCUAUUUUAUUUUACCCCAAAUUUUAAACUAUCUUCAUUUACCACAGAUUACUAAUGCCCUGUGAACUUGAAAAGCGUUUGGGCUUAUUUACUUAAUUUAUGAGUACUAAUUUAUUUAUGUCAAGUUGGUACCAUACAGGCAAUCUAUAAACAUAGACACGUAUCCAUAAAAUAUAAACACAAAUAAAUACUUUAUAUCAUUUUUUCUUUUUUUGAGACAGAGUUUCACUCUUAUUGCCCAGGCUGGAGUGCAAUGGUGCAAUCUCGCCUCACUGCAACUUCCGUCGCCCGGGUUCAAGCCAUUCUCUUGCCUCAGCCUCCCGAGUAGCUGGGAUUACAGGUGUGUGCCACCAUGCCUGACUAAUUUUUGUAUUUUUAGUAGAGAUGGAGUUUCAUCAUGUUGGCCAGGCUGGUCUUGAACUCCUGACCUCAGGUGAUCCAUCCCCGCCUUGGUCUCCAAAAGUGAUAGGAUUACAGGCAUGAGCCACUGCACCUGGCCUACAUCUUUAAAAUUUUAGCCACGAGACCAGUAAAACUCCUUAGUUUAAAAGGACAGUUGAAUUCAAAUGCAGCUUUGUAAAUGGAAAGGUUACAGUUUGUCUGUCCUUCAUGGCUGAAGAUCUUACCAAGUUUUAAGAAAAACAGGAUAGCAAAUUUACAUCUCAAAACAGAGAAAAUUAAGCAUUUUCAAGAAGAAGUUAGGGUAUGUUAGAGAAAGAUUAAAAAUGGACAACAAGUGAUAUAGUUUGAGUAUUUGUCCUCUUCAAAUCUCAUGUUGAAAUGUUAUCCCCAGUGUUGGAGGUUGGGUCAAGUAGGAGGUUUUUGGGUCAUGGUGGCAGGUCCCUCAUGAAUGGCUGGGUUCUGUCCUUGUGGUAAUGAGUGAGUUCUUAUUCCAUUAGCUCAUGUGAGAGCUGGUUUUAAAAAGAGUCUAGUGUCUUUCUCACCUUUCUCUUGCUCCCUUUUUGGCCAUGUGAUAUGCCUGCUCCUCCUCUUCGCCUUCCACCAUGAUUGUAAGCUUCUUUUUCUUUUCUUUCUUUCUUUCUUUUUUUUUUGAGAUAGAGUAUCACUCUGUUGCCCAGGCUGGAGUACAGUGGUGUGAUCUCAGCUCACAGCAACCUCUGCCUCCCAAGUUCCAAGUGAUCCUCUUGCCUCAGCCUCCUGAGUAGCAGGGAUUCCAGACACAUGCCACCAUGCCCAGCUAAUUUUUGUAUUUUUAGUAGAGAUGGGGUUUCACCAUGUUGGCCAGCCUGGUCUCGAACUCCUGACCUCAAAUGAUCCAUCUGUCUCCGCCUCCCGAAGUGCUGGCAUUACAGGCAUGAGCCACCGCACGCGGCCAAUUGUAAACUUCUUGAGGUUGUCACCAGAAGCAGAUGCUGGCAUCAUGCUUCUUGUACAGCCUGCAGAAUAGUGAGCCAAAUAAACUUUUCUUUAUAAAUCACCAAGCCUCAGGUAUUCCUUUAUAGCAACACAAAACAGACAAACACACCAAUGUGACACAAAAUUAUAGAAAUUCACAUAGGAUGUUACAAUGAAAGAUACAAAUGAGCAGAGAGGAAAUUCAGAAGCCUUUUAAAAAUAACUAGCUAAGCCCGGGCAACAUGGUAUAUAACUUUGUCUCUACAAAAGCAACAAAAUUAGCCAGGCAUGGUGGCGUGUGCCUGUAAUAGCAGCUACUUGAGAGGCUGAGGUAGGAGGAUGAGGACAUUGCUUGAGCCCAGGAAGUUGAGGCUGCAGUGAGCUGUGAUUGUGUGACUGCAUUCCAGCCUGGACAACAGAUUAAGACCCAGUCUGAUAUGGUUUGGAUAUUUGUCCCCACCCAAAUCUCAUGUUGAAAUGUAAUAACUGGUGGGAGGUAUUUGGAUCAUGGGGGCAGGUCCCUCAUGAAUGGCUAGGGCUGUCCCCUUGGUGCCAAGUGAGUUUUUGCAAGAUCUGGUCAUUUUAAAGUAUGUGGCACCUCCCCCCAUACUCUCUUUCUCUUAUUCCUGCUUUUGCUGUGAGAUGUGCCUCCUCCCCCUUUUCCUUUCACCAUGAUUGUAAGCUUCCUAAGGACUCUCCAGAAGCAAAUGCUGGCACUAUGCCUCUUGUACAGCCUGCAGCACUGUGAACCAACUAAACCUCUUAUAAAUUACCCAGUCUCAGGAAUUUCUUUAUAGUAACUCAAGAAUGGCCUAAUACACUGUCUCAAAAAACAAAAACAAAAACAAAACGAAACAAAAAAUACAGAAAACCCUACCAAAAACAAAAACAAACACCUAAAUGUCAGAAAGUCAUAUUUUGGAGACCAAUCUAGUCAUAUAGGUGGCUUCUAAUUUAGUAUCUGUUUUCUACUUAGACCACUGAGUUCUGGGCAGAGCCCAUUAAGGAACAGGGCAAACAAAGCAUUUGCAGUUUUUAGGGCCUAAUAUUUGUAUAUGUAAAAAGUAGGCACAGCUGGAAGACAGAGCAUCUAGAUUUUUAAAAAUCAAGGAUUCUACUUUUACACUGAACCCUGGGUCCCCCACAAAAGAGGGAAACACCAAAGGACUGGGCUGCACAGUGUUUCCAGAGUACACCUCACUACAAAGAUGUCACCCUGAGGCUGGUGGGGGUGUGUGAGGCAUUAGUGAGAGUGACAGAUUGUGUGUCAGGUAUUAGUGGGUGGGAGACCCAUAUCAAUCAGCCCAUUCUGUGAUCAGCCCAUCCACCAUGGGAUAGUUAUUCCUUGGUGGUGAGUAUUCCCACAGUCUCCAUGUAUUCAACUAUGUCUUUUUUAUAGAAUAGAGCAAAGCAACAAGUAGCCUACAUACAGUAAUAACUAUUAAUUGCAACCACUGUCAGCUACCUCCAAAACUGCAGCCCUCACCAGUGACCCACCAGCCAUUGCAUACACAAGGUCAAAUUCUCUAAUAGGUCAAAGUAAUUCCUUGAACCCCCAAAGCCAAAGAGACCAGGUAAUGCAAUGCAAAGGAGAGUGGAGCUUUAGACCUGAUAAGAACUUGCCCAUGACUCUUCAGACUCCACAGGAAGACAGAAGAUCAUUCCCAUAAAGUGGGUGAGUGGUAGCUUUUCUAUGUUUCUUUUUAUUUAUUUAUUAUUUUAUUUAUUUAUUUAUUUAUUUAUUU